Long non-coding RNA from Schistocerca nitens (vagrant locust), 2685 nucleotides. RefSeq lists it as uncharacterized. The record is from RefSeq and is a predicted model, not a curated record. The transcript is spliced from 3 exons. Lineage: Eukaryota; Metazoa; Arthropoda; Insecta; Orthoptera; Acrididae.
ACUGUGCAUCUGGUCCAUACGUAGGCAAUGUGUUAGGAUACGUAGAAUGCAAAACCUCUGGUGAAUACCCGGUCUGUCAGGGAGCGGUAAAAGGUGAGCACGGGAAAAUGCGCGUGGGCACUGCACGGCACAACGGGUUCAGUAGUAGUUGGAGUUUGGCACUGGUUUGAGCAACACCUUCUGGAGCAAGGAGGCUCUCCUGGAAGACAUAGCUUCACUGAGCCUCGGGUACGCCGUUCCAAGGCCCACACAGCGUGGCAAAAUUCCAUAGGCACUAAAUAGAUAAGUAUUGCUACACUAAGAAGAAUUAAAGUGCCGAUACGUCAAGAGCCAUAGCUGUGGUUGUAUGCGUGCUCUGUGCCUCGCCAUCUUGCCGCUUGCCAACCGCCGCAUCGAUACAAGCAGAUGCUUAAAAGCAAAAGUGGAGCCAGUGCACAGGCCGUUUAUAGUCCACGAGUGUAGUGGUUCCCAUUGCUGAAGUUCCUGGACUAGGCCACAGAAAUUGGCAGUAAACGAGGAACUCCCACAUUCGAAGAAAUGCUUGAGCAUGAAGUACAAGCUCAGUACUUAUCUCAAGAAGAGACCGAUGUCAUCUGCAGUGAGCCACAGCUACAGCUACAGCCCCAGCAUCAUGAGCGGCCUCCCACAAAGAGAACAAAACUGACUACAAAUAUUCUUGUGGAGGCCCCCAAAAUGUGGAAGGCUUUGGAUCAUAUGAGCAAAAAUCAGCCCCAGCCUGGUAUAGAGCCCUUGCCACCCACAUCACAGCUGAACUGGCGGGAGAUGGAAAAUGUGGGUGGUAAAGCAUUUGCAACGGGCACUAUGCAGGGGUUAAAUUACUUUUUGAUGGACAGGUGGGAUUUGUUGUAGGCAACAGUUCCACAGCCACAUCCACCUCUGGAUAUAUCCAGGCUGCCUACCAGCAAGCUGGUAUACAGGAUGACGACACACUAUUAUACAGGGUGUUACAAAAAGGUACGGCCAAACUUUCAGGAAACAUUCCUCACACACAAAUAAAGAAAAGAUGUUAUGUGGACAUGUGUUCGGAAACGCUUAAUUUCCAUGUUAGAGCUCAUUUUAGUUUCGUCAGAAUCUACUGUACUUCCUAGAUUCACCGCCAGUUGGCCCAAUUGAAGGAAGGUAAUGGUGACUUCGGUGCUUGUGUUGACAUGCGACUCAUUGCUCUACAGUACUAGCAUCAAGCACAUCAGUACGUAGCAUCAACAGGUUAGUGUUCAUCACGAACGUGGUUUUGCAGUCAGUGCAAUGUUUACAAAUGCGGAAUUGGCAGAUGCCCAUUUGAUGUAUGGAUUAGCACGGGGCAAUAGCCGUGGCGUGGUACAUUUGUAUCGAGACAGAUUUCCAGAACGAAGGUGUCCCGACAGGAAGACGUUCUAAGCAAUUGAUCGGCGUCUUAGGGAGCACGGAACAUUCCAGCCUAUGACUCGUGACUGGGGAAGACCUAGAACAGCGAGGACACCUGCAAUGGAAGAGGCAAUUCUUCGUGCAGUUGACGAUAACCCUAAUGUCAGCGUCAGAGAAGUUGCUGCUGUACAAGGUAACGUUGACCACGUCACUGUAUGGAGAGUGCUACGGGAGAACCAGUUGUUUCCGUACCGUAUACAGUGCGUGCAGGCACUAUCAGUAGCUGAUUGGCCUCCACGGGUACACUUCUGCGAAUGGUUCAUCCAACAAUGUGUCAAUCCUCAUUUCAGUGCAAAUGUUCUCUUUAUGGAUGAGGCUUCAUCCCAACGUGAUCAAAUUGUAAAUUUUCACAAUCAACAUGUGUGGGCUGACGAGAAUCCGCACGCAAUUGUGCAAUCACGUCACGUCAUCAACACAGAUUUUCUGUGAAUGUUUGGGCAGGCAUUGUCGGUGAUGUCUUGAUUGGGCCCCAUGUUCUUCCACCUAUGCUCAAUGGAGCACGUUAUGAUUUCAUACGGGAUACUCUACCUGUGCAGCUAGAACAUGUGCCUUUACAAGUACGACACAACAUGUGGUUCAUGCACGAUGGAGCUCCUGCACAUUUCAGUCGAAGUGUUCGUACGCUUCUCAACAACAGGUUUGGUGACCGAUAAAAUGGUAGAGGCGGACCAAUUCCAUGGCCUCCAUGCUCUCCUGACCUCAACCCUCUUGACUUUCAUUUAUGGGGGCAUUUGAAAGCUCUUGUCUACGCAAGCCCGGUACCAAAUGUAGAGACUCUUCGUGCUCGUAUUGUGGACGGCUGUGAUAUGAGACGCCAUUCUCCAGGGCUGCAUCAGCGCAUCAGGGAUUCCAUGCGACGGAGGGUGGAUGCAUGUAUCCUCGCUAACAGAGGACAUUUUGAACAUUUCCUGUAACAAAGUGUUUGAAGUCACGCUGGUACGUUCUGUUGCUGUGUGUUUCCAUUCCAUGAUUAAUGUGAUUUGAAGAGAAGUAAUAAAAUGAGCUCUAACAUGGAAAGUAAGCGUUUCCGGACACAUGUCCACAUAACAUAUUUUCUUUCUUUGUGUGUGAGGAAUGUUUCCUGAAAGUUUGGCUGUACCUUUUUGUAUUUUCUGAGCUCUCCAGUUGUCUUAAUCUAUUUUUGCACUCAGGAUGCCUCACAUUGUAAAGCACCUCAUCAGCUUCAAACAUUUCUAUUAAUUUUGUAGUUGGGGGACACACAAUGUAAUUAUUAUUUGGAGCUAUAAUAAAAAAGAGUUC